GCGGAGAUAGUUAAGUGUUUAUAACAUGCUUCUUCCUGAAGCAAGUCGUUGGUUUAAAUCCAGCUCUCCGCUCCA
Molecule: transfer RNA, 75 nt
Filed under: Nosocomiicoccus ampullae
Lineage: Bacteria; Bacillati; Bacillota; Bacilli; Caryophanales; Staphylococcaceae
Description: tRNA-OTHER
Rfam family: tRNA
About the family: Transfer RNA (tRNA) molecules are approximately 80 nucleotides in length. Their secondary structure includes four short double-helical elements and three loops (D, anti-codon, and T loops).
Source: RNAcentral